This 500-nucleotide ribosomal RNA is filed under the name uncultured bacterium. RNAcentral describes it as "partial 16S ribosomal RNA". It matches the Rfam family "Bacterial small subunit ribosomal RNA", at positions 30 to 523 of the family's 1533-position model. The record is from RNAcentral.
AUUGAACGCUGGCGGCAGGCCUAACACAUGCAAGUCGAGCGGUUGACGGGAGCUUGCUCCCUGAUUCAGCGGCGGACGGGUGAGUAAUGCCUAGGAAUCUGCCUAUUAGUGGGGGACAACGUUUCGAAAGGAACGCUAAUACCGCAUACGUCCUACGGGAGAAAGCAGGGGACCUUCGGGCCUUGCGCUAAUAGAUGAGCCUAGGUCGGAUUAGCUUGUUGGUGAGGUAAUGGCUCACCAAGGCGACGAUCCGUAACUGGUCUGAGAGGAUGAUCAGUCACACUGGAACUGAGACACGGUCCAGACUCCUACGGGAGGCAGCAGUGGGGAAUAUUGGACAAUGGGCGAAAGCCUGAUCCAGCCAUGCCGCGUGUGUGAAGAAAGUCUUCGGAUUGUAAAGCACUCUAAGUUGGGAGGAAGGGUUGUAGAUUAAUACUCUGCAAUUUUGACGUUACCGACAGAAUAAGCACCGGCUAACUCUGUGCCAGCAGCCGCGGUAA